ACCAGGAUUAGAUACCCUAUUAUAAAAAUUUAAAUUAAUUUACUAAAAAAUUAAUAGUUAAGUUCUUUAAAUUUAAAAAAUUUGGCGGUAUUUUAGUCUUAUUAGAGGAACCUGUUUAUUAAUUGAUAAUCCACGAUUAAUUUUACUUAUUUUAAUUAAUUCAUAUAUCGCUGUCAUGAAUAUAUUAAAAAAUUUAUUUUCUUUUCUUAUUUUUAUAAUUUAUGUUAAGUCAAGAUGUGGUUUAUAAAUAAGAAUAUAAUGGGUUACAAUAAAUUUUAUUUUUGAAUUUUAAAUGAAAAUUAAAAUGAAAUUGGAUUUAAUAGUAAAUUUAUUUAUUUA
This 339-nucleotide ribosomal RNA is filed under the name Aphis punicae. RNAcentral describes it as "partial 12S ribosomal RNA". The record is from RNAcentral. Lineage: Eukaryota; Metazoa; Arthropoda; Insecta; Hemiptera; Aphididae.